Molecule: ribosomal RNA, 469 nt
Filed under: uncultured bacterium
Lineage: Bacteria
Description: bacterial SSU rRNA
Rfam family: Bacterial small subunit ribosomal RNA
Source: RNAcentral
GGACGAACGGCUGGCGGCGCGCCUAACACAUGCAAGUCGAACGAGCGAGAGAGAGCUUGCUUUCUCGAGCGAGUGGCGAACGGGUGAGUAACGCGUGAGGAACCUGCCUCAAAGAGGGGGACAACAGUUGGAAACGACUGCUAAUACCGCAUAAGCCCACGGCUCGGCAUCGAGCAGAGGGAAAAGGAGCAAUCCGCUUUGAGAUGGCCUCGCGUCCGAUUAGCUAGUUGGUGAGGUAACGGCCCACCAAGGCGACGAUCGGUAGCCGGACUGAGAGGUUUGAACGGCCACAUUGGGACUGAGACACGGCCCAGACUCCUACGGGAGGCAGCAGUGGGGAAUAUUGCACAAUGGGGGAAACCCUGAUGCAGCGACGCCGCGUGGAGGAAGAAGGUCUUCGGAUUGUAAACUCCUGUUGUUGAGGAAGAUAAUGACGGUACUCAACAAGGAAGUGACGGCUAACUACGUG